CUAUUUUUAAAAUAUAAAAUAUUGAAACUGAGCAGUCCCUUCAUUUUUUUAUCUUUAUAUCUUUAUACUACAAAUUAUCAAGUGUCUUUGAAUGAUGAAGUAUGGAUUAUAUAGUGCCCAGAUUCAGUUUCUUUAGACCCUUCAUUGUUGAUUUUUCUAUCAUGGGGAAGUAGACACUUCAGUAUCAAAGGUGGAUUGAUCUGAUAUAUAGAUAUUUUAAAAACUCUACAGUGUAAAGGCAAUGGUUUACUAUGAAGGAAUAAGGAUAUUUUAUUCUUAUUCCCUUACACUAUCUUUCAAUCAGAAAUUGAUUCUAUUUUUAUGUAUGUACUACAAUCUUGAUAAUGAAUGUUAGUAAACAUAUUUUUAUCGUAUCAGAUAAUCAAGCUGCAUCAAAAGCACCUUAUAGCUGUAUUUCACAUCAAAGUUCGUAUGGGAAUGAAAUUAUCUCGUUGUCAACCAGGAAUGGGAUUCACUGUAUUUAGGUGCCAGGACAAAGGGAUUAAGAUAGUGGGUUGCAGAUGGACUGACCAAGAAAGGGGAUUUCUUCUCUCUCUGUUGGAACUAAGCCUAGAUUAAGCAUUUGCAUAAGUUGUCAAGAACUGAUUGGCAUCACAUCAUCUCUCACUGGAGAUCCAUUUCUGGACUAAGGCAAGCAAAGAUACUUAUUUUAAGUCAAUCAUUACAGAAAACUAGAAAGUUGCUUGCAUUACAUAAAAGUCAAGUAAGGAUUAUUAUUGUUCCUUACAAGACACUGAUUAUCUUAG
RNAcentral lists this long non-coding RNA (767 nucleotides) under Androctonus crassicauda. Lineage: Eukaryota; Metazoa; Arthropoda; Arachnida; Scorpiones; Buthidae. The record is from RNAcentral.